AAAGAUUGGCCUUACGUUCAUGUCUCAGCAUAACUUAAGUCAGGAAACUUAACCAUAAAACGGACAAACACGACCGACUAAACAAACGGACUUUGGCAACAGCCUCGAAACCGAACCAAAGAAACCACGCUUUCAGAAGUGUCAAGCUCUAACCAUCAACCGGAUCCAAUGCAUAAUCGUCGGUAACAAGAUUGUGAGUUUUGCCACGUGAGCCGUGAACGAAGUUCCACAGAUCUGAAAGGAGAAAACCGGAUCAGACGAAUCCCUUC
This 269-nucleotide long non-coding RNA is filed under the name Brassica rapa (field mustard). RNAcentral's name for it is "long non-coding RNA (BRAP_LNC005906)". The record is from RNAcentral. Lineage: Eukaryota; Viridiplantae; Streptophyta; Magnoliopsida; Brassicales; Brassicaceae.